CAGUAGCCACGGUAAUACGUAGGGUGCGAGCGUUAAUCGGAGUUACUGGGCGUAAAGCGUGCGCAGGCGGUUGUGUAAGACAGGUGUGAAAUCCCCGGGCUUAACCUGGGAACUGCGUUCUGAACUGGAUAGCUAGAGUGUGUCAGAGGGGGGUAGAAUUCCACGUGUAGCAGUGAAAUGCGUAGAGAUGUGGAGGAAUACCGAUGGCGAAGGCAGCCCCCUGGGAUAACACUGACGUUCAUGCUCGAAAGCGUGGGUAGCAAACAGGAUUAGAUACCCCUGUAGUCCCUGUCUCUUAUAA
This 301-nucleotide ribosomal RNA is filed under the name uncultured bacterium. RNAcentral describes it as "partial 16S ribosomal RNA". It matches the Rfam family "Bacterial small subunit ribosomal RNA", at positions 509 to 809 of the family's 1533-position model. The record is from RNAcentral.